UCGAUUAGAGUUUGAUUCUGGCUCANNNNGAACGCUGGCGGCGUGCUUAACACAUGCAAGUCGAGCGGUAACAGGCGUAGCAAUACGUGCUGACGAGCGGCGAACGGGUGAGUAAUGCUUCGGAAUCUGCCUGGUAGUGGGGAAUAACCAGUCGAAAGACUGGCUAAUGCCGCAUACGACCUUUUUCCGUAUUGGAAUUUGGUGAAAGCGGGGGAUCGCAAGACCUCGCGCUAAUAGAUGAGCCGAAGUCGGAUUAGCUAGUUGGUGAGGUAACGGCUCACCAAGGCGACAAUCCGUAGCUGGUCUGAGAGGACGACCGGCCACACUGGGACUGAGACACGGCCCAGACUCCUACGGGAGGCAGCAGUAGGGAAUCUUCCGCAAUGGACGAAAGUCUGACGGAGCAACGCCGCGUGAGUGAUGAAGGUUUUCGGAUCGUAAAACUCUGUUGUUAGGGAAGAACAAGUACGAGAGUAACUGCUCGUACCUUGACGGUACCUAACCAGAAAGCCACGGCUAACUACGUGCCAGCAGCCGCGGUAAUACGUAGGUGGCAAGCGUUGUCCGGAAUUAUUGGGCGUAAAGCGCGCGCAGGCGGUCCUUUAAGUCUGAUGUGAAAGCCCACGGCUCAACCGUGGAGGGUCAUUGGAAACUGGGGGACUUGAGUGC
This 669-nucleotide ribosomal RNA is filed under the name uncultured bacterium. Its description in RNAcentral is "bacterial SSU rRNA". It matches the Rfam family "Bacterial small subunit ribosomal RNA", at positions 1 to 649 of the family's 1533-position model. The record is from RNAcentral.